UGGGGAAUAUUGCACAAUGGGCGCAAGCCUGAUGCAGCCAUGCCGCGUGUAUGAAGAAGGCCUUCGGGUUGUAAAGUACUUUCAGCGGGGGGGAAGGGAGUAAAGUUAAUACCUUUGCUCAUUGACGUUACCCGCAGAAGAAGCACCGGCUAACUCCGUGCCAGCAGCCGCGGUAAUACGGAGGGUGCAAGCGUUAAUCGGAAUUACUGGGCGUAAAGCGCACGCAGGCGGUUUGUUAAGUCAGAUGUGAAAUCCCCGGGCUCAACCUGGGAACUGCAUCUGAUACUGGCAAGCUUGAGUCUCGUAGAGGGGGGUAGAAUUCCAGGUGUAGCGGUGAAAUGCGUAGAGAUCUGGAGGAAUACCGGUGGCGAAGGCGGCCCCCUGGACGAAGACUGACGCUCAGGUGCGAAAGCGUGGGGAGCAAACAGG
RNAcentral lists this ribosomal RNA (429 nucleotides) under Chloroflexota bacterium. RNAcentral describes it as "Chloroflexi bacterium partial 16S ribosomal RNA". It matches the Rfam family "Bacterial small subunit ribosomal RNA", at positions 355 to 776 of the family's 1533-position model. The record is from RNAcentral. Lineage: Bacteria; Bacillati; Chloroflexota.